This is a transfer RNA of Ovis aries (sheep), 72 nucleotides long. It matches the Rfam family "tRNA". Rfam says of the family: Transfer RNA (tRNA) molecules are approximately 80 nucleotides in length. Their secondary structure includes four short double-helical elements and three loops (D, anti-codon, and T loops). Further hydrogen bonds mediate the characteristic L-shaped molecular structure. tRNAs have two regions of fundamental functional importance: the anti-codon, which is responsible for specific mRNA codon recognition, and the 3' end, to which the tRNAs corresponding amino acid is attached (by aminoacyl-tRNA synthetases). tRNAs cope with the degeneracy of the genetic code in two manners: having more than one tRNA (with a specific anti-codon) for a particular amino acid; and 'wobble' base-pairing, i.e. permitting non-standard base-pairing at the 3rd anti-codon position. The record is from Rfam. NCBI's taxonomy places the organism in Eukaryota, Metazoa, Chordata, Mammalia, Artiodactyla, Bovidae.
UCCCUAGUGGCUCAGAGUUUAAAGCAUCUGCUUGCAAUGCAGGAGACCUAGGUUCGAUAUCUGGGUCGGGAA